GUUUGACUCUUGACGAGCUAGGUGAAGCUUGGAGGAGAUGAUCAAACGGGAUAAAGGCACGAGUAAGACUUGCUUGGAUGAAAGGAACGAAUAGCAAUUUGGAUAAUUGCGUCAUCAUAGAAUAUUGAAUUAAUAAUAGGAAGGUAUAAACGGGUCUAUACGUUGACUCGAGCCAGGUACGCUUAUAUAUAGAUUUAUAGUUAAAAGUGUUUAACUUCCCUUAACGGGUCAAAAGGAGUAGAUAGGUAAAACGGGUUAAGAAUUCAUAAGAAACCCGUAAUUUGAACCUUGCACAGUAGUAAAUUGAUAUAACGUGAUAUGCAUGAUAUUUUGAAAAGGUAAUAGACAAGUUUGUUUGAUAAAUCACGAAAGGGUCAAAAAGUGUCAUAAUUGAAUUUCAAGCCGAGAGCUUGAAAGUUAAAAUUUUGUGAAUUUAGAUGU
Molecule: long non-coding RNA, 441 nt
Filed under: Helianthus annuus (common sunflower)
Lineage: Eukaryota; Viridiplantae; Streptophyta; Magnoliopsida; Asterales; Asteraceae
Description: hypothetical non coding rna
Source: RNAcentral